Molecule: ribosomal RNA, 305 nt
Filed under: uncultured bacterium
Lineage: Bacteria
Description: bacterial SSU rRNA
Rfam family: Bacterial small subunit ribosomal RNA
Source: RNAcentral
CCCUACGGGACGCAGCAGUGGGGAAUAUUGCGCAAUGGGCGAAAGCCUGACGCAGCGACGCCGCGUGAAGGAAGAAGGCUUUCGGGUUGUAAACUUCUUUUCUCAGGGACGAAGCAAGUGACGGUACCUGAGGAAUAAGCCACGGCUAACUACGUGCCAGCAGCCACGGUAAUACGUAGGUGGCAAGCGUUAUCCGGAUUUACUGGGUGUAAAGGGCGUGUAGGCGGGACUGCAAGUCAGAUGUGAAAACCAUGGGCUCAACCUAUGGCCUGCAUUUGAAACUGUAGUUCUUGAGUACUGGAGAG